Molecule: long non-coding RNA, 916 nt
Organism: Wyeomyia smithii (pitcher-plant mosquito)
Lineage: Eukaryota; Metazoa; Arthropoda; Insecta; Diptera; Culicidae
Exons: 2
Source: RefSeq, a predicted model, not a curated record
AACAGUCUAAGCGUAACACUGUGCGAGUGAGAAUACCGUUUUUUUUUCUUCUAAGUGAACUUCGACAGUAGUCUAUGAGAAUUGUGAAACAAGUCAAACCUAACCACAAAAAGCCAUGAGUCACCAAUUUUGGAAGAUCUUCAAAUAUCUGCAAUAUUUUGACUUCUCCGGACUAUUCGAGGCGCUGGAGGGGUCUGAAUACGCUUACCUAGGCGAUUUGUCGGACGCGUUCGAUUUCGCAGAUUAUUUCGAUUACUCGAAGUACUCCUACGGUGACGAACUGUUCGAUAUAUUCGACUUUGGGGAUUCACACAAGCACUCCGGCGGGCUGCUGGAUUUGUUCGAUAUAUUCGACUACUAGCGGAGAUGCAAUGAUGAUUAAUAAUUGUUGAAACUUGUUGUACAAAAAUAGAGACAAAUCUUAGAAUCUAAUAAUAAUGAUAAGUUUAGUGAACAAUUCGAAAGUUUUUAUUAUAAGUUUUGCUUUGUUAGUGCUAGUGUAUAAGUGUUUUAUUUUACAAUGCUCCAAUUGACAAGUGUUUAGAAUGUGAAUAAAUAGUUAAAUGUGAAUUUUUUCUAAACGUCAUUAAAGAAUUCGAAAAGUUUCUUUACAUAGACUUAAUCAAUUUUUCAUUAUAUUCGGCAGAACAUGAUUGUGGUUACCACAACUUUCAAAAAGAUUCCGUUUAGAUUUGAUGCAAAAGUAUUUAACGAUUGAUCCGUUUCGAUCUUAGGAUCCGUUUUUGCACACUCUUGCCUUCUGCAAAGUAACAAAGUCAUAUUAGAUGUCAUUAGGUCAUUAAUCAGAGAUCGCUAGAAGUUUUGUGAUUUUCUCAUGCUUUCAUUGACUAAGUUCGAUUACAGGUGCAUUUUUGACAUUUUUGUAUUUUAAAAAAUAAAAUUGGAGAAAAUCAUA